RNAcentral lists this unclassified non-coding RNA (1871 nucleotides) under Hevea brasiliensis (rubber tree). The record is from RNAcentral. Lineage: Eukaryota; Viridiplantae; Streptophyta; Magnoliopsida; Malpighiales; Euphorbiaceae.
CGUCAAAAUUCUUCAUUUGAAUUUCUUAGGGAAAUCAUUUACAUACCCUGUGUGUAAAUUUUGAUUGAUAAAUAUUUAGAAGCGGGAAGCAAGCAUACCCUUAAUCCCAUACGAUCCCUUCUCAGUUCUCUCUAUGUAUAAAUAUCUUUGUUUUUCCAUACAUUUCUUAUAUGUGCAGUACUACCAGAAGUUGGUUUCAAUCGCUCACACCCCAGAUUUGAGCUACUAACCUACUUGAACUAGAAGACUUCCUCCACCUUGCUAGACGUAACAAGAAUGUCAACACUUCUGAUGGGUCACGGAGGGAGAAUGAAGCUUUAGUAUCCUUUGGGCUUGAAGUUACAAUUAUUGGGUAUCCUUGGCCCCUUCUUAGCAUUACCUGCAAAAUUCAUUUGUGACUAAUUGAGUAUUGCCUGCAGCCUAAAGGAAACAAACUAUACAAAGAACCAUGAAUUCCAUUCUCCUUGAUCUGUCAUAUUUUUGUAAAACAACUUGUAGUGCCUUCAUAUUUUAUCUCGAAUGAUACCUUGAAAGCAUCUUCAUCCGUUCGAUCAUCUCCUAUGUACACAGGUAGAACAUCAUUGGAGUUGCCUAGCCCUAGAGUGUCAAGUAAAUAUUCUAAAGCAUUACCUUUGUCCCACUCUAUCGAUGGUCGUAUUUCCAUAACCUUUAUGUGAAUUUUCACAAGCAUUAGAGGAAAAUCUUGCUACUUGCAAACAAAUAAAAAAAAGGUGAAAUUAAGAAUUAUCCCUACCUUUUUACCCCAACUUAAGUGAAACUCCGGAUAAUGUUCAAGUACAGACUUCACCUUCUUCUCUAAAAUUUCAUAAUCCUGGAUUUAACAACAAUAUACUAGUUGUAAUAAAUCUCUCUCAUCUCAUAGAAUAAAACAAUAUAUGGUGCGCUUAUUGCAAUGCCUGACUAGGUUUUAUGAAGAAAAUUAAAGAAUUCAUCAUUACUCUGCACUAUCAAUAUUGAGUUUAUUACCUCUUCUCUAACCUGUCGGAAAUGUACAGAGAUGCAAAAUCUAUUGUCCUCUACCCUGGCACCUUGUAUUUUCAUGACUUUCUCUUUCAAUGCUGUUCGCAUCUUUUGAAUUGCAGGCAAAAAUUUCUUAGCAGGUUGAAAGAGAACCUCAUUCCCCUUCUUAUCAAGGGCUACGGUAUGGUGCUUCCCAUCACAGGACUUAACCGGCCUCGGUGGGGCCAAAAUGUCCAUGCCAUGGCUUCCUGCAUAGAAAACAUUACUUAACUGUACAAAUUCUUUAACCUUGUCCCUGCUCCUACCACUGAUUAUAGCUGUUGGAAAAUACUUUGCAACUUCACGUACUGCUGCACGCAUCUCAUCAGACAUGAAGGCAAGAUCAGGAUUAUCUACAAUAGGUGCAAGAGUACCGUCAUAAUCUAAAAACACGGCAAUCUUCUUACCCUUUGCUGCUCUCAUCAUCUGAUCAAAUGAACCCAAUGCAGAAGGGUGUUCCACCACCCAUGUGUCAUAACUUGCAUCAUCUAUGGAAAUAGGUCCACCUUCGAUGAGAUGACUUAUAACAUUAGAUGCUCUUAUACUUGUGGAGCGAUCAUUUCCAGGCUGCAUUUUUGGUUUAUUUGUGGAUGAUCUUUGAAUUCCCAUAGCCUGAUUGAACUUUGCAAUAUUUAUCUUGAAUAUUUCUGAGAAAAUCACUAUAAGCUGGCUGAGUUAGUAAAACAAGUUCUUCACAACUCCAACUGCUUAACAAGUUUGGGCGUAUUUCUUGUGAAUUGUCUACGGGGGCGAAGAGCUUCACGAGGAGAAAAUGAGGGGGAGGUGCAAGGAGAAGCGACAGAGGCAGUUUGAAGAGAGAGAAAGUGAUAGAGAGAGGCGCAAAGAUGAAG